Molecule: unclassified non-coding RNA, 456 nt
Filed under: Hevea brasiliensis (rubber tree)
Lineage: Eukaryota; Viridiplantae; Streptophyta; Magnoliopsida; Malpighiales; Euphorbiaceae
Source: RNAcentral
GUAACUUUUUUGUGAUUGUGGGGGGAAGGGGGGAGAGGGUUCUAUAAAUUCACUCAAUAUAAGUUUUGUUAGAUAUCUUUUACUUGAACUUUAUAGAAUCAAAAUUAGCAUUUAUUAGUUUCAUAUCAAGUACCUGAAAGACAUACUGAACUCGUCAAAGCCUUGAUCUAAUAUUUGGUUUGAAGCAACCAUAUGACAUUUUGUUCCUUGUCUGCUCUAUCCGAUGCCGUGCUUCCAAAUUCCAGUAUAUUUUUCAACAAAAUCAUGUGUUAGUCUACCUUUCGCCCCUUCCCACUUGAAUUUGUGUAUAGCAUAUUCAAAGUUCAUCAUCUGUUACCAUUUAUUAUUAAAUUGUUAACCACUCUCGUCAUGCUUGAGUCUCUGGCUUUAUCAAUUUAUUUUUACUUUUAUAAUGUUGACUGAUAUUGAUGCAGUGCAUAAGAUGCUUGCGGCAGA